UACUAGAGUAGCACUAGCAUAUCAAUAAGCGGAGGAAAAGAAACUAACAAGGAUUCCCCUAGUAACGGCGAGUGAAGCGGGAAGAGCUCAAAUUUGAAAUCUUAAAGGGUUUCCCUUUACGAAUUGUAGUUUAAAGAAGUGUUUUCUGUUGAGGUUUUGGUAAAAGUUCUUUGGAAUAGGACAUCAUAGAGGGCGAGAAUCCCGUAUUUGACCUUUACUUUCAACUUUGUGAUACACUUUCAAAGAGUCGGAUUGUUUGGGAAUGCAGUCCAAAAUGGGUGGUAAAUUUCAUCUAAAGCUAAAUAUUGGCGAGAGACCGAUAGCGAACAAGUACCGUGAGGGAAAGAUGAAAAGAACUUUGAAAAGAGAGUUAAACAGUACGUGAAAUUGUCAAAAGGGAAGCGUUUGACACCAGUGUUGUUUUUCUGAAAAUCAAUUAAAGAACUGUUUAUGCUAAGUUGUUUAGACUUUAUCAGCUAAUCUGCUUAGUUUUGAGCUUUUCUUUAAUGCACUUUUCAGUUAACAAGUCAACAUCAAUUUCUCUUGCUGUAAAAAAGCUUGAGGAAGGUGGCUUGAGAUUCGUCUUAAGUGUUUAUAGCCUCUUGCCUAUGCAGUCGGAGAGAUUGAGGUCUGCAGCGUAGAUCCUUCGGGGCUAAAUGCAUUUGUGCUAAGUUAUAGCAUUUUAUAGACGACUUGUUGACUAUGAUUUGUCUUGUAGCUUACUCGCUUAUGUUAUUUUACCUACGCUUAGGAUGUUGAACUCUAUCACACACAG
This 775-nucleotide ribosomal RNA is filed under the name uncultured Neocallimastigales. Its description in RNAcentral is "partial large subunit ribosomal RNA". It matches the Rfam family "Eukaryotic large subunit ribosomal RNA", at positions 22 to 621 of the family's 3401-position model. The record is from RNAcentral. Lineage: Eukaryota; Fungi; Neocallimastigomycota; Neocallimastigomycetes; Neocallimastigales.